Molecule: ribosomal RNA, 535 nt
Filed under: uncultured bacterium
Lineage: Bacteria
Description: partial 16S ribosomal RNA
Rfam family: Bacterial small subunit ribosomal RNA
Source: RNAcentral
UGGGGAAUUUUGGACAAUGGGCGAAAGCCUGAUCCAGCAAUGCCGCGUGUGUGAAGAAGGCCUUCGGGUUGUAAAGCACUUUUGUCCGGAAAGAAAUCCUUGGCUCUAAUACAGUCGGGGGAUGACGGUACCGGAAGAAUAAGCACCGGCUAACUACGUGCCAGCAGCCGCGGUAAUACGUAGGGUGCAAGCGUUAAUCGGAAUUACUGGGCGUAAAGCGUGCGCAGGCGGUUUGCUAAGACCGAUGUGAAAAUCCCCGGGGCUCAACCUGGGAACUGCAUUGGUGACUGGGCAGGCUAGAGUAUGGCAGAGGGGGGUAGAAUUCCACGUGUAGCAGUGAAAAUGCGUAGAGAUGUGGAGGAAUACCGAUGGCGAAGGCAGCCCCCUGGGCCAAAUACUGACGCUCAUGCACGAAAAGCGUGGGGGAGCAAAACAGGAUUAGAUACCCUGGUAGUCCACGCCCUAAAACGAUGUCAACUAGUUGUUGGGGAUUCAUUUCCUUAGUAACGUAGCUAACGCGUGAAGUUGACCGCCU